This 253-nucleotide ribosomal RNA is filed under the name uncultured bacterium. RNAcentral describes it as "partial 16S ribosomal RNA". It matches the Rfam family "Bacterial small subunit ribosomal RNA", at positions 524 to 776 of the family's 1533-position model. The record is from RNAcentral.
UACGUAGGGGGCAAGCGUUGUCCGGAAUUAUUGGGCGUAAAGAGCGUGUAGGCGGCCAGCUAAGUCCGCUGUGAAAUCUCGAGGCUCAACUUCGAGCUGUCGGUGGAAACUAUCUGGCUAGAGUCCGGAAGAGGAGAAUGGAAUUCCUGGUGUAGCGGUGAAAUGCGCAGAUAUCAGGAAGAACACCCGUGGCGAAGGCGGUUCUCUGGGACGGUACUGACGCUGAGACGCGAAAGCGUGGGGAGCGAACAGG